UUUAAAUUUAGUCUCUCAUACAAAUGUUUCACAACGUUGUGCAGGAAGGAGUUGCCCAUUUGCUUCUCUAAAGAAUUACCAAGUUGAUAGAAACAAAGAAAUGAUGGCCCUCAGUCUCUAAUGAACACGGCUGGUUCUUGCACUUCAUGCUAUCUUACGUUAGUGCUUGAAAUUGCAGGUUGGGGUUCCUGUAGUCAAGAUUCUUUUGCAUGUCACCAGGCCAAACACAGGAAAUUGGGAAUAUAUUCCAUCAACACAAAUACAAAGGUGCCUUCAUUUCUCAUACUGGCCACCCGAUUUCCAAUCUACUUCGAAAAUUCAACUUAUCUACAAGAAAGCUUGUGUGUGAAUGUGAUGGAGAAAUUACAUAAUUCCAAAAUCCUUUGGAAUGAAUUCAGUCUAUCUCACAGUGGGAGACAUCUUAGCACCAUGGAAGCCUCAGGGGAAGAAAUAAUAAUUACGUUUGGUUCAUUGAUAUUGAAUAAGAUAAGGAUGUAAUAGAUAUUUGAUGGGAAUAAAAUGAGGAGGUAAUAGAUAUUAACUAGUUUGAUUGAUUAAAUAGAAUAAAUAAAUAAUAGUUUUACAUAA
This is an RNA transcript of Gossypium arboreum, 588 nucleotides long. RefSeq lists it as uncharacterized. NCBI's taxonomy places the organism in Eukaryota, Viridiplantae, Streptophyta, Magnoliopsida, Malvales, Malvaceae. The transcript is spliced from 3 exons. The record is from RefSeq and is a predicted model, not a curated record.